UAUACUUGAUCUUGACUUAUCCUACAAGGAUAACUGCGGUAAUUCUGGAGCUAAUACUUGCAUUAAAGGCAACCUUUAAAGUUGCUGCACUUAUUAGAACAAAACCAAGCGGCUCUGCCGUUUUUAGGUUGACUCCGAAUAAUUUCGCUAAUCGCAUGGUCUAGUACCGGCGAUAUGUCAUUCAAGUAUCUGUCCUAUCAACUUUCGAUGGUAGUGCAUUGUCCUACCAUGGUGUUGACGGGUAACGGAGAAUUAGGGUUCGACUCCGGAGAAAUCGCCUGAGAAACGGCGUUUACAUCCAAGGAAGGCAGCAGGCGCGAAAAUUACCCAAUCUCAGUUCGAGGAGGUAGUGACGAGAAAUGACAAGACUUAUUCCUUCUGGAAUGAGUCAUUGGAAUGGUUUGAAUUUAAAAUCAUCAAAGAUUAUCUAUGAGAGGGCAAGUCUGGUGCCAGCAGCCGCGGUAAUUCCAGCUCUCAUACUGCAUUGAAGUAUUGUUGCGGUUAAAAAGCUCGUAGUUGGAUUUCUACACUAAGACGCGGUCCACCUUCGGGUGUGCACUGUGUUCUUGUGUUUAUUGAUCAGUUUUCUGUUAUCGCAAGGUAGCAGUGACUGAUGAGUUUACUUUGAAUAAAUCAGAGUGCUCAAAACAGGCGCAAGCUUGUAUGAUUUUGCAUGGAAUAAUAGAACAAGACGUUGGUUCUUGUUUUAUUGGUUUUACGAACCAAUGUAAUGAUUAAAAGGAACAAACGGGGGCAUUUGUAUCGCUACGUGAGAGGUGAAAUUCGUGGACCGUAGCGAGACAAACUACCGCGAAGGCAUUUGCCAAGAAUGUUUUCAUUAAUCAAGAACGAAAGUCAGGGGAUCGAAGGCGAUCAGAUACCGCCCUAGUCCUGACCGUAAACUAUGCCAUCUAGCGAGUUUCGAGUGGACUCUUUUGCCCUUGAAACGAGCUUCCCGGAAACGAAAGUCUUUCGGUUCCGGGGGAAGUAUGGUUGCAAAGCUGAAACUUAAAGGGAUUGACGGAAGGUCACCACCAGAAAUGGGGCCUGCGGUUUAAUUUGACUCAACACGGGAAAACUCACCCGGUCCGGACACUAUAAGGAUUGACAGACUGAUAGCUCUUUCAUGAUUUGGUGGUUGGUGGUGCAUGGCCGUUCUUAGUUCGUGGAGUGAUUUGUCUGGUUUAUUCCGAUAACGAACGAGAUUAUAGCCUAGUUAAAUAGACUACUCCUUAUUUGGGGGUCAGUCUUCUUAUCGGGAUCUGCGGUUUCUAACCGUACGAAACUUAGCAAUAACAGGUCUGUGAUGCCCUUAGAUGUCCGGGGCUACACGCGCGCCACAAUGGACUGUUCAGUCCGUUGUGCCCAUCCUCGAUAGAGGUUGGUAAGCGUGUCAAAUUAGUCCGUAUUUGGGCUCGGAGAUUGCAAUUAUU
The sequence is a ribosomal RNA, 1433 nucleotides long. It matches the Rfam family "Eukaryotic small subunit ribosomal RNA", at positions 116 to 1594 of the family's 1831-position model.